UACGAAGGGGGCUAGCGUUGUUCGGAUUUACUGGGCGUAAAGCGCACGUAGGCGGAUUGUUAAGUGAGAGGUGAAAUCCCGGAGCUCAACUCCGGAACUCGCCUUUCAUACUGGCAAUCUAGAGUCCGGAAGAGGUGAGUGGAACUCCUAGUGUAGAGGUGGAAUUCGUAGAUAUUAGGAAGAACACCAGUGGCGAAGGCGGCUCACUGGUCCGGUACUGACGCUGAGGUGCGAAAGCGUGGGGAGC
RNAcentral lists this ribosomal RNA (247 nucleotides) under uncultured bacterium. Its description in RNAcentral is "partial 16S ribosomal RNA". It matches the Rfam family "Bacterial small subunit ribosomal RNA", at positions 524 to 769 of the family's 1533-position model. The record is from RNAcentral.